AUUAGCUCAUUUAAGGUUUUCUCCUAAACAUUACCUUUCUUCUUUGGUGAUGUCUUCGCUUUGGAAAUUCUCCUCGCCGCCGUCAUAGAGCGUAAACGGCGGGAAUCAGGAGACUUCUCAAUAAAAUCAAUAUCAGAAUUGUUUCCAUCAGUGGCCUUAGCAAAUUCUCCAUCAAGAUUCCUACUAACCCCAACCUCAGCAAAAUCAGCAUCCUUCUCUACCACCGAAUCUAAAACUUCUUUCGACUACAUAAACGUAAAGAAAACUCAGGCUUUAAAUAACAAAAACUCAUGUCUAUGUAUAAAUAUAACUCAGCAGUAACUAAAUAAAAGCUAUAACUCAGCCGUAUAAUAUGCAGAUAACUCAGCCAUAACUAAAUAAAAGUUAUAACUCAGCCGUAUAAUAUGAAGAUAACUCAGCCGUAUAAUAUGCAGAUAACUCAGCCAUAACUAAAUAAAAGUUAUAACUCAGCCGUAUAAUAUGAAGAUAACUCAACCGUAACUAAAUAAAAAGUAAUAACUCAGCCAUUAGCUUACCGGAGGAGGACUAGUAACAGAUUGGUUAUUUGUAGGUUUCCUUGGACCUUUUGGUGUCUGUUGAGUUUGGGGUUUAGGGUUGCCUUGCUGCUCUUUGGUUAAAAACAUUUCUCUAAUAACCACUCUAGAGUUUAAUUAUGAGUCAGCUAUGCCAGUUUGGCCAGUUAGGCCUACCCCAAUGACCUUCAGAUGCUCUUUCAUCUAUUUGACCUCGUUUUCAAUAGAUGCAAACCUUCUUUCAAACUUUGCAUCAAUCCUCGCUUCUACUUGAUCUCCAAUCACCUCCAGACGGGAAGACAUUUCUUUGAUGCUAUUAUCAACGGUGUCAAACCUU
This 870-nucleotide small RNA is filed under the name Arabidopsis thaliana (thale cress). Its description in RNAcentral is "ATSL211670". Lineage: Eukaryota; Viridiplantae; Streptophyta; Magnoliopsida; Brassicales; Brassicaceae. The record is from RNAcentral.